RNAcentral lists this ribosomal RNA (483 nucleotides) under uncultured bacterium. RNAcentral describes it as "partial 16S ribosomal RNA". It matches the Rfam family "Bacterial small subunit ribosomal RNA", at positions 28 to 507 of the family's 1533-position model. The record is from RNAcentral.
GACGAACGCUGGCGGCGUGCUUAACACAUGCAAGUCGAACGCUCAAGCUCAGCUUUUGUUGGGUGGAUGAGUGGCGAACGGGUGAGUAACACGUGAGUAACCUGCCCCCUUCUUUGGGAUAACGCUCGGAAACGGGUGCUAAUACUGGAUAUUCACUGGUCUUCGCAUGGGUGUUGGUGGAAAGGGUUUUUCUGGUGGGGGUUGUGCUCGCGUCCUAUCCGCUUGUUGUUGGGGUGAUGGCCUAACAAGGCUUUGACGGGUAGCCUGCCUGAGAGGGUGAACGGGAACAGUGGGACUGAGAUACGGCCCAGACGAGUAAGGGGGGGGGCAGUGGGGAAUAUUGGACAAUGGGAGAAAGAGUGAUGCAGCGACAGCGCGGAAGGGAUGGAGGCCGUCGGGUUGUGAACCUAGGGCGGAAAAGAUGAAGCCGCAACAAUGGUUGUGGUGAGGGUAGUGGGUAAAGAAGCGCCGGCUAACUACGUG